Long non-coding RNA from Oreochromis aureus, 691 nucleotides. The record is from Ensembl. NCBI's taxonomy places the organism in Eukaryota, Metazoa, Chordata, Actinopteri, Cichliformes, Cichlidae.
CGACUGGGUGACUUUAUUCACCCGCUUCGGCUGUUAUCAGUCCAUACAAUGGGCGUUAUUAGCAGAAAUCAGUCCCAUAGAUGUGGGCCAUCUCCACCUGCUAGAUUGUUCAGAAGCUUGUUAUCAUCCAUCCAGAUGGAGGAUCACUAACAGGAGCGUGGAAGACUCCAGAAUCCACUCUGGCUGGAAUCCGGUGGAUACAGCAGUGUUACAGUUCUCCACAGUCGCUGUGCACAUGGGUCAGUGGGACCAAGAAGCACUCUGCUAAUGUGAGACUCUGACCAGCAACAUCCAGCAAGACCCAGGCAGCGUUUUCUAUCUCCCAGCUGGAGUUUUUUGUUUGUGACGGGAGAGUCAGAUUUUUGUUGAAGCUGGAGGAACAGAGAGGUUAAUACACGCUACUGAUCCCUGAUGGGAGAAUCAUCACCUCUGCUAACAAAGAAGCCUGGUGGAUAUUUGUUUACAGACUGAUGAUGGGACAUCAUGCUCUGCAUCUUCAAAAGUGGAUUCUGGAGUCUUCCACGCUCCUGUUACUGAUCCUCCAUCUGGAUGGAUGAGAACAAGCUUCUGAACAAUCUAGCAGGUGGAUGGCCCAUAUCUAUGGGACUGAUUUGUGCUAAUAACGCCCAUUGUAUGGACUGAUAACAGCAAGCGGGUGAAUAAAGUCACCCAGUCGCUAGCUGUGCCAUUA